AGACUUUGAUCCUGGCUCAGAACGAACGCUGGCGGCAUGCCUAACACAUGCAAGUCGAACGAGACCUUCGGGUCUAGUGGCGCACGGGUGCGUAACGCGUGGGAAUCUGCCCUUUGCUUCGGAAUAACAGUUAGAAAUGACUGCUAAUACCGGAUGAUGUCGAAAGACCAAAGAUUUAUCGGCAAAGGAUGAGCCCGCGUAGGAUUAGGUAGUUGGUGAGGUAAAGGCUCACCAAGCCGACGAUCCUUAGCUGGUCUGAGAGGAUGAUCAGCCACACUGGGACUGAGACACGGCCCAGACUCCUACGGGAGGCAGCAGUGGGGAAUAUUGGACAAUGGGCGAAAGCCUGAUCCAGCAAUGCCGCGUGAGUGAUGAAGGCCUUAGGGUUGUAAAGCUCUUUUACCAGGGAUGAUAAUGACAGUACCUGGAGAAUAAGCUCCGGCUAACUCCGUGCCAGCAGCCGCGGUAAUACGGAGGGAGCUAGCGUUGUUCGGAAUUACUGGGCGUAAAGCGCACGUAGGCGGCUACUCAAGUCAGAGGUGAAAGCCC
Molecule: ribosomal RNA, 549 nt
Filed under: uncultured Alphaproteobacteria bacterium
Lineage: Bacteria; Pseudomonadati; Pseudomonadota; Alphaproteobacteria
Description: bacterial SSU rRNA
Rfam family: Bacterial small subunit ribosomal RNA
Source: RNAcentral